RNAcentral lists this transfer RNA (88 nucleotides) under Candidatus Mancarchaeum acidiphilum. Its description in RNAcentral is "Candidatus Micrarchaeota archaeon Mia14 tRNA". It matches the Rfam family "tRNA". From Rfam's summary of the family: Transfer RNA (tRNA) molecules are approximately 80 nucleotides in length. Their secondary structure includes four short double-helical elements and three loops (D, anti-codon, and T loops). Lineage: Archaea; Nanobdellati; Microcaldota. The record is from Rfam by way of RNAcentral.
GCGCUAGUAAUCUAGCCUGGUAGGAUACUGGCUUCCCAUAUUAAUUUGAAAAAAGCCAGAGGCCCGGGUCCAAAUCCCGGCUGGCGCA